AAAAGGAAAAGCAUAAACCGAAUAUAGUAAUCAAUAUCUUACUUUAUUUUCCUUUUUUCACGAGCUACGUGUUCUCGUAAAACUUUUUGCUUUUGAACAAGACUUCGUCCAGCUUUACCUUUUAAUUUAUGCUUAAUCAUCAUAAAGUUCUUGUUACGUUGUUUUCUUUUGUUAGAAAGACUUGUUGGGUUAAAACCUGCCUUUUUAGAUGAAAAUUUAUCACGUCCUUCACGUCCUUCCAUGACACUAGCAAUACGGGCUUCUCGGUCGUUCUUAGCCUUUUUUCUAGGACCUUCAAUUUCAUCAGCCUCAACGGCAUCGUCUGGCCUCUUUAAAGAACGCUUAGGUCCAUUGACGAGACGAUCAACACCCGCUUGCUCCCUAAGCUCUUCCAACUUUUUCAAGUCAUUAGGUGUCAAAAUAGAUUGAGACGCAAGCUCGGUCAUUCUAUCAACUAGUUCCUUUUGUGAAGAAGAUCCUUUCUCAUCUGAUUCUUUUCUUGCAGUGGCCUUCUCUUCCUCUUCAUCGCUGUCACUUAAUUCAAUAUUGUCAUCACUAUCGACAUCGAUCCAGCCACCACUAUCAUCAGAAUUCUGUCCAUCUUCUGAAACUUCCCAAUUAUCCCAAUCGUCUCCAUUUUCUCCUUCUUCUCCGUGUUCAGCUUUAUACUGAGCUAAAAGUUCCAAUCCUUGGAUUCCGUGGGUGACGUUUAACUCCUCACCAUACUUCAAAGGUGUACGAUCUUUCAUCUCAAUAGAAGCAAGCUUACCACGAUCCUUUCUUUUCAACAUGUCGGGAGCAACUUCACGAUACAGAGUGAUGAGACUACGACUAGCCAUCAUAACACCUUUAUCCUUACUAGAUUUGUACUCAGUUAGAUCCUGAAGAAGGUCGGGAGUCAUUGCCAAAGGCGCACGAGCACAAACUUCACGAAUAGCAUUAAUACCAGCACAAACAACCUCAUUGGCGACACCUGAAGUAACGAAUUCGUCGGCAAUUUUUCUAACUAACGGUUCAAGCGCAUCUGGAGGUACGAAUUCAUGGGAAGCUUGAGCGAGACAUGCUAAAAACUGAGUAACGUCUCUCUGGUGGGGUGUCAAAUAUUUCAUUAAAAAAGAAUAAAGACCUAGGACUGUAAGUUUGUGAGAACCUACCAAUCUGGUAAGGAGUCGAAGGACCACCAGUUUUUGAUCCAUUGACAGACGGCUUUUUGAGCUAGCCAAGUGCUUUUCAAAAAGUUCUUCGGCAAAUCCUUGAGGGUCAUGAAGAAGCUGUAAAGCCGGAAAGUUAACGUUUGUGGGGACGUUUUGUUUUCCUCGCUCUUUCUUCUUUACAACUGCGCGAGCACGAAGCAAAGCAGCCUCACGGGAUUUUGUCUUUUUAUUUACAUUAGCUUGAUGCAAAAGCUUGGAAACAUCUGGACCCUCAUCAUCAGAUUCCUCCUCCUCUUCUUGAUUGUCAGCACCUAAGAAAAAGUAAAUCCCUGCAAGCAUAACUUUGGGGUUUGAUGAUAGUGCGGCAGAUUUCAUGAUGUUUACGGCACGUGCAUCACCGGACCAAACAUUCCUUUUCCAUAAAUCACGAACCAUUUUGACAGCCCAAACACCUGAUAAUUCACUUGCUGAAUAUUCUCGCUUUUGUCCAGAAUAAUCAGUAUGUGUUGCUGAACCACUACCCGAACCGUCAACCAAAGUAAACAGAGCAGACUGAACAGCUUUAUUCAACUUAUCAUUUUUGGCUUGUUUAUUGGCAUUCCGAAUGGUGAGAGAUACCUGUUGAUACAAAAGUUCGCGAACACCACGAGUAGGAUUUUCACGGAAAAGCGGGAAAAAACAUUGUAGUAAUGUAAUAGGAGAUAUUACUGUUUUAUUUUUUAACAGAACAAGGCAUAAAACGAUUUUUUCACAAAGUUCGAAAGGGAAUAUUGUGUGGUUUUUUUGUAAUAGCUCAAUUAAUUCGCUAGGAAAGUCGGCAGUAACAUCAUGAUAAUAAUUACAAGUUUGGGAAAUGAAAUCGAUUAAUGAACAAAAUUCGGAAAUGUCUGAAGAUGGAUUAACAAGAAAAAUUUCGCGCGCGGUUUCAUAGUGAUUCCAUUGCUGCAAAAAUUCUUCUCUGUAGGAUUUUGGAUCCUUUUUGACCAGAUGUUGUAGAUGAGGAAGAUUGUUAGGUAAAACAGCAGCAGUGCGUCUUUUCACCAUAUUAAUGUAUCUUUGUGAAAAUAU
Molecule: long non-coding RNA, 2222 nt
Filed under: Schizosaccharomyces pombe (fission yeast)
Lineage: Eukaryota; Fungi; Ascomycota; Schizosaccharomycetes; Schizosaccharomycetales; Schizosaccharomycetaceae
Source: RNAcentral